Molecule: ribosomal RNA, 482 nt
Filed under: uncultured bacterium
Lineage: Bacteria
Description: partial 16S ribosomal RNA
Rfam family: Bacterial small subunit ribosomal RNA
Source: RNAcentral
AUUGAACGCUGGCGGCAUGCUUUACACAUGCAAGUCGAACGGUAACAGGCCGCAAGGUUCUGACGAGUGGCGAACGGGUGAGUAAUGCAUCGGAACGUGCCCAUUCGUGGGGGAUAACUACUCGUAAGAGUAGCUAAUACCGCAUACGAUCUAUGGAUGAAAGCGGGGGACCGUAAGUCCUCGCGCGAUUGGAGCGGACGAUGUCAGAUUAGGUAGUUGGUGGGGUAAAGGCUAACCAAGCCAACGAUCUGUAGCUGGUCUGAGAGGACGACCAGCCACACUGGGACUGAGACACGGCCCAGACUCCUACGGGGGGCAGCAGUGGGGAAUUUUGGACAAUGGGCGCAAGCCUGAUCCAGCAAUGCCGCGUGAAGGAAGAAGGCCUUCGGGUUGUAAACUGCUUUUGUACGGAACGAAACGGCUCUGGUUAAUACCCGGGGCUAAUGACGGUACCGUAAGAAUAAGCACCGGCUAACUACGUG